This 472-nucleotide ribosomal RNA is filed under the name uncultured bacterium. RNAcentral describes it as "partial 16S ribosomal RNA". It matches the Rfam family "Bacterial small subunit ribosomal RNA", at positions 28 to 507 of the family's 1533-position model. The record is from RNAcentral.
GAUGAACGCUAGCGACAGGCUUAACACAUGCAAGUCGAGGGGCAUCGCGGCGGUGGCGACACCGCUGGCGGCGACCGGCGCACUGGUGAGUAACACGUAUGCGACCUGCCCCCUACAGGGGAAUAACCCGCGGAAACGCGGCCUAAUGCCCCAUAGUCCCGUCAGGCCCAUGCCUUACGGGGGAAAGGUCCGCCGGUAGGGGAUGGGCAUGCGGCGCAUUAGCUGGUUGGCGGGGCAACGGCCCACCAAGGCUAUGAUGCGUAGGCGCCCUGAGAGGGGUGGAGGCAACAUUGGGAGCGAGAGACGGCCCAGACUGCUACGGGAGGGAGGAGGGGGGAAGAGUGCGCAAUGGGCGGAAGGCGGAGGCAGCAGCGCCGCGUGCGGGAUGACGGCCGUCGGGUUGUGAACCGGUUGCGCCUGUGAGGAAGGGUGAGUGACGGUAAGGGGUAAAGAAGCACCGGCUAACUACGGG